AGUAUCUGUAGAUUUAUUUCUUUAUCUUUAAUUUUACACUGUGUUCAUUCAUUCUUGAAUUAGAAAUAAACGAUCAUAGAUUUUGUAAAAUGCAGGGUAAAGAUAGAAAAUAUAUCCGAAGCUCUACGAAGCAAAUUUACAGACCGUCUAUCAACCCGAAUUUUCUACGUCUAGUUACAUGUAAAGACCUGUAUAUAAGUUUAAUUAUAACAGUUUAUUUGUUCAUUGUUUAUACACGUAUCAGGCAAUGUCAAUAAUAAUAUAACAUGUAAACACAGAAUAUGCAUACACCUGAGACAUCAUAUAUCUAGGGUACCUGCAUGUUGAUGAUCCGUUUCUCUCCUAUCCAGGAUCAAGAACUUUCCAAUCGCUGAAUAAAUAAUCGUACGAUAGAUCGGACACAUCUUGAUGAUGUUGAUGUAAAGUGUCUGCUGGCUUGCAUCACUGACCAGCCAGUGCCGGUUAAAUAUGUACAUACGUUUGCAGCUAGAGAAAAUUCAGUCUGCCUGCAUUUGAGUUAUCGCCGGAGAUAGUUCGAACGGGACUUCGGAAACGAGUAUAAAUGUUUGCAAGGGCUUACAGAAAGAUGCAGAUCAACCUGUAGCGCUUUAAAUUUAUGAAUAAUUUUUUAAAACAUAUCUAAAUUACUCAUUUUGAUCUGAUUUAUUGCUUUUUGUAAAAUCAAACAGCAUCCAGACUGUUCUCUGUACCGAAAAUAUACGCGAUAUGUGACGUCAGCAGGAACGAAGACUCGAGUACAAAGUAAAUGACAGAGGUAAGAAACAUAAAAUUAUGUAUUAUCGGCAGAUCAAUGCUUCCUGCUUUGAUAAAAAAAAAUCAUUCGAAAUUUUGUAAAAUAUAUAAGAAUUCCUUACAAUUAACUGCAUAAUGAUGAUGAAGUUUAUACGUAGUGUGAUGAUGACCAGAGACACAUUGUAUCCUUAGCGUAAAUUAAGCGUAAUAUUAUAGGCUUAUGCAAUAAAAUAUCUGAUAUCUUCUUCAUUGAAGCAUGACAAAAACAUCCCUACACGGAUAUGGAUUUGAUACUAUUUGGAUGGAGGUGUGAACAUCAUGACAUGCCUGAUGGCUGUAUAAAAGAUAAAAAUCCAAAUAAGAGAAAAAAAAAAGAUCCUUCCAUAUUUCUCCAGAGUGUCUUUCCCCAAUUAAUAGCAGGUUCAUAAUUAAAGAACCGUAAGUUUGCACAUGCAGAUUUGCAAAGACACUUUGGAUAAGAUUUCAACAGUGUGACAACCAACAGCGUUCAGGAAACCUCAAAUUCAUGGAUACAAUGGCUAAUCAUUCUUCUAUGAUUAAGAACUGUAUGAUAAUUUGGAUCAAGGUUUAACAUUGAAGCUUAUUUAAGUGAUUUAGACAACCGAUUGGAGCUAUAAUUCAAGUGUUGAUCACUAUUAUCUGUCUUAAUUCUGUCCCUGGACAGUCUCUGUCCCUCUAUGAACUUUCUUCCUUUUCAGAACAACUGAGCCAAUUUUAACCAAACUUGAUACAAAACAUUAUUGGGUGAAGAGGAAUACCAGUUUGUUAAUUUAAAAAGGAAAAGUCACACCUUAUUUUAAUGAAAUUAAAAUGAUAAAAAAUGUGUUGUUAUUUUUUUUUUAAUCUUGAAAACUCAUUGAUCUGAACAGGUGAAUAAUGCUCUUCAAAGUUGUCCAAAUGUUUUGUAUUUGGCAGACUAAGGUAGAUUUGAUACAUCAUGACGAUGCUCAGGUGAGCGAUUCGGCUUAUGUAUUAAAUAAACUCAAAAACUGAAAGCAUAAAAAACAAUAAGGACAUGGACCAGAGUGACAAAGUGAGAAUGGUAGUAUUUGGAUAUGACAUACAGAGAUUUACUGUAUCUGAUCAAAUAUGUUUUAACGAGCAUUGAUCAUGUUACCAACUGCAUGUCAUGUAUCAAUGAAUUUUGUUUAUAUCUGCCAAAUUAUUAAUGCACAUUCAAAAUAGAUACUGGUAUGCCAUUCAGUAAUAGGACAACUUUACGUACACUACAUUUAUUUAUGUAUAUUUUCUUGUUGACUGAUGAAGCAACAAGCCUUUUCGAGAAGUGAAAGAAGAAACAUUUUUCAUUUUGU
Magallana angulata is the source of this 2087-nucleotide long non-coding RNA. RefSeq lists it as uncharacterized. The transcript is spliced from 3 exons. Lineage: Eukaryota; Metazoa; Mollusca; Bivalvia; Ostreida; Ostreidae. The record is from RefSeq and is a predicted model, not a curated record.